RNAcentral lists this ribosomal RNA (1372 nucleotides) under metagenome. RNAcentral describes it as "bacterial LSU rRNA". It matches the Rfam family "Bacterial large subunit ribosomal RNA", at positions 1548 to 2925 of the family's 2925-position model. The record is from RNAcentral.
CUUCAAUGUCGAGACGUGAUGCGGAGCCGCAAGGCGUAAGUCAUUGAGUCCAAGCUUCCAAGAAAAUCCGCGUCCUACGUUGAAGGGCUGCUGUCCGUACCGGAAACCGACUCAGGUGGGCGGGUCGAGUAGACCAAGGCGUUUGAGAGAACUAUGGCUAAGGAACUCGGCAAAUUGAUGCCGUAACUUCGGGAUAAGGCAUGCCAUCACUGGUGAAGGGUGAACACCCGGAGCCUAAGAUGGUUUCAACAAAGAGGCGGUAGCGACUGUUUACCAAAAACACAGGCCUGUGCGAAGCCGUAAGGCGAUGUAUACGGGUUGACGCCUGCCCGGUGCCGGAAGGUUAAAGGGAGUGGUCAGCGAAAGCGAAGCUGCGAACUGAAGCCCCGGUAAACGGCGGCCGUAACUAUAACGGUCCUAAGGUAGCGAAAUUCCUUGUCGGGUAAGUUCCGACCUGCACGAAAGGCGUAACGACUUCCGCACUGUCUCGGCCAUAGACUCAGCGGAAUUGACAUUGGGGUGAAGAUGCCCCAUACCCGCAGCAAGACGGAAAGACCCUGUGAACCUUACUCUAACUUGGCAGCGGCAUUCGGUUCAGCUUGUGUAGGAUAGGUGGGAGGCUAUGAGACCCGGGCGCUAGCUCGGGAGGAGCCAACGUUGAAAUACCACCCUGGUUGUGCUGGAUGCCUAACCCUGAUCAUGUAUCGGGGACACUGCCUGGCGGGGAGUUUGACUGGGGCGGUCGCCUCCCAAAAAGUAACGGAGGCGCGCAAAGGUUCCCUCAGCCUGAACGGAAACCAGGCGUUGAGUGCAAAGACAGAAGGGAGCUUGACUGCAACACCGACAGGUGGAGCAGGUGCGAAAGCAGGCCUUAGUGAUCCGGCGGUCCCACAUGGGAGGGCCGUCGCUCAUCGGAUAAAAGGUACUCCGGGGAUAACAGGCUUAUCACGCCCAAGAGUUCACAUCGACGGCGUGGUUUGGCACCUCGAUGUCGGCUCAUCGCAUCCUGGGGCUGGAGCAGGUCCCAAGGGUUUGGCUGUUCGCCAAUUAAAGCGGUACGCGAGCUGGGUUCAAAACGUCGUGAGACAGUUUGGUCCCUAUCUGCUGUGGGCGUAGGAGAGUUGAGAGGAGCUGUCCUUAGUACGACAGGACCGGGAUGGACGCACCUCUGGUGUUCCGGUUGUCGCGCCAGCGGCAUUGCCGGGUAGCCAUGUGCGGAGGGGAUAACCGCUGAAAGCAUCUAAGUGGGAAGCCCCCCUCAAGAUAAGCUCUCCCUGAAGGGCCGAAGAAGACUACUUCGUUGAUAGGCGGGACGUAUAGAAGCAGCAAUGCAAGAGCGAACCCGUACUAAUUGCCCGAUUGGCUUGAUCCU